This 389-nucleotide ribosomal RNA is filed under the name Salmonella enterica. Its description in RNAcentral is "bacterial SSU rRNA". It matches the Rfam family "Bacterial small subunit ribosomal RNA", at positions 1 to 390 of the family's 1533-position model. RNAcentral also lists the same sequence under 2 other names. Lineage: Bacteria; Pseudomonadati; Pseudomonadota; Gammaproteobacteria; Enterobacterales; Enterobacteriaceae. The record is from RNAcentral.
UGAAGAGUUUGAUCAUGGCUCAGAUUGAACGCUGGCGGCAGGCCUAACACAUGCAAGUCGAACGGUAACAGGAAGCAGCUUGCUGCUUCGCUGACGAGUGGCGGACGGGUGAGUAAUGUCUGGGAAACUGCCUGAUGGAGGGGGAUAACUACUGGAAACGGUGGCUAAUACCGCAUAACGUCGCAAGACCAAAGAGGGGGACCUUCGGGCCUCUUGCCAUCAGAUGUGCCCAGAUGGGAUUAGCUUGUUGGUGAGGUAACGGCUCACCAAGGCGACGAUCCCUAGCUGGUCUGAGAGGAUGACCAGCCACACUGGAACUGAGACACGGUCCAGACUCCUACGGGAGGCAGCAGUGGGGAAUAUUGCACAAUGGGCGCAAGCCUGAUGCA